UUCCUAUUCUCCCUACUUCCCAGGUGCCC
This 29-nucleotide non-coding RNA is filed under the name Rattus norvegicus (Norway rat). The record is from RNAcentral. Lineage: Eukaryota; Metazoa; Chordata; Mammalia; Rodentia; Muridae.